This 253-nucleotide ribosomal RNA is filed under the name uncultured microorganism. RNAcentral describes it as "partial 16S ribosomal RNA". It matches the Rfam family "Bacterial small subunit ribosomal RNA", at positions 524 to 776 of the family's 1533-position model. The record is from RNAcentral.
UACGUAGGGGGCGAGCGUUACCCGGAUUUACUGGGCGUAAAGGGGGCGUAGGCGGCCGUGAAAGUCCGGUGUGAAAACUCACGGCUCAACCGUGGGACUGCGCUGGAAACUACACGGCUUGAGGACGGUAGAGGGAGACGGAACUGCUGGUGUAGGGGUGAAAUCCGUAGAGAUCAGGAGGAACGCCGGUGGAGAAGUCGGUCUCCUGGGCCGUUCCUGACGCUGAGGCCCGAAAGCUAGGGGAGCAAACCGG